Molecule: ribosomal RNA, 205 nt
Filed under: uncultured bacterium
Lineage: Bacteria
Description: partial 16S ribosomal RNA
Rfam family: Bacterial small subunit ribosomal RNA
Source: RNAcentral
AGCGCAGGCGGGAAACUAAGCGGAUCUUAAAAGUGCGGGGCUCAACCCCGUGAUGGGGUCCGAACUGGUCUUCUUGAGUGCAGGAGAGGAAAGCGGAAUUCCCAGUGUAGCGGUGAAAUGCGUAGAUAUUGGGAAGAACACCAGUGGCGAAGGCGGCUUUCUGGACUGUAACUGGCGCUGAGGCUCGAAAGCUAGGGUAGCGAAG